GGCCCCAUAGUGUAGCUUGGAUAUCACACUGGUUUGCGGAACCAGUAACCCGUGUUCGAAUCGCGGCGGGGCCGCCA
Molecule: transfer RNA, 77 nt
Filed under: Euryarchaeota archaeon TMED132
Lineage: Archaea; Methanobacteriati; Methanobacteriota
Also listed under: 5 other names
Description: tRNA-Arg
Rfam family: tRNA
About the family: Transfer RNA (tRNA) molecules are approximately 80 nucleotides in length. Their secondary structure includes four short double-helical elements and three loops (D, anti-codon, and T loops).
Source: RNAcentral